UGGGGAAUUUUGGACAAUGGGCGAAAGCCUGAUCCAGCAAUGCCGCGUGUGUGAAGAAGGCCUUCGGGUUGUAAAGCACUUUUGUCCGGAAAGAAAUCCUUGGCUCUAAUACAGUCGGGGGAUGACGGUACCGGAAGAAUAAGCACCGGCUAACUACGUGCCAGCAGCCGCGGUAAUACGUAGGGUGCAAGCGUUAAUCGGAAUUACUGGGCGUAAAGCGUGCGCAGGCGGUUUGCUAAGACCGAUGUGAAAUCCCCGGGCUCAACCUGGGAACUGCAUUGGUGACUGGCAGGCUAGAGUAUGGCAGAGGGGGGUAGAAUUCCACGUGUAGCAGUGAAAUGCGUAGAGAUGUGGAGGAAUACCGAUGGCGAAGGCAGCCCCCUGGGCCAAUACUGACGCUCAUGCACGAAAGCGUGGGGGAGCAAACAGGAUUAGAUACCCUGGUAGUCCACGCCCUAAACGAUGUCAACUAGUUGUGGGGAUUCAUUUCCUUAGUAACGUAGCUAACGCGUGAAGUUGACCGCCU
Molecule: ribosomal RNA, 526 nt
Filed under: uncultured bacterium
Lineage: Bacteria
Description: partial 16S ribosomal RNA
Rfam family: Bacterial small subunit ribosomal RNA
Source: RNAcentral